RNAcentral lists this long non-coding RNA (567 nucleotides) under Panicum hallii. RNAcentral's name for it is "long non-coding RNA (PHAL_LNC000010)". Lineage: Eukaryota; Viridiplantae; Streptophyta; Magnoliopsida; Poales; Poaceae. The record is from RNAcentral.
AAAGAUCGAAUGUUGGAAUUUGGAUGGGUAAGAAAAUGAGAACAGAGUAGCCCAUAUAGCCUUGAUGUUGAUGAUAAGGGGAACAGGAUAAGUGAUCCACGGUGUUACAUUGAGUAUUUGUCAUACAGGUAUGUGUUGAACUUAAAAUUCUCAUGGUAUGAUCUUAAGCCACGAUUCAUGGAACACAUCAACUUAGCUAAUGUUGCUUUCUCUGCUUGACCAUUCUAACAUGUCCUAAUCUGAUCUGCUUUUGGAAAAGACGAGACCAGUACACAAUCCACGUGAAUGCAUCUUCUCAAGCUAAAGUUUCCAACCACGAUGGUUUCAUCUCUCGCUGAUCGAUCGGGACUUGUCCGGCCUUCGUGUCUCCACACCAGUGCAGCAAGGUUUGCUGCCUUCCGGCCAUGGAUUCUUCUCCUCGUCAGUGUCUUGCACGUCGGCGCGUGGAUAUGGCAUCCGGUCCGGUGAGAUGAUUGGCAGAUUGGGUCACUUCAAACUUUGUAUCUACCCACUGACUCGCGGAUAUACUUCAAAACUGGCCAUCCGUGGAUCUUAUGCUAAAGGGAG